AAACCAGUGACCUCAUUUGGCAUUCAGCAGAAUAAACAUAUACUGGUUUGGCCAGCAAGUUUGUACAAACUUUUUGGCCAACCCAUUACAUAUCUCUUGCAACACUGAAGGGAACACUGGAUUUUCUAGAGUUACAGAAGGAUAACAUGAAGGACUUCAAUCAUGUGACAAUGGAAGAGAUUUUUAAAGUCACAUAUGACUACAUAUAAUUUUUUCCAUCAUAACUAAAAGACCAGCUGGUUUCAGAAAAGGCAGAGGAACCAGAGAUCAAAUUGCCCACAUCCGCUGGUUCAUCGAAAAAGCAACAGAGUUCCAGAAAAACAUCUAUUUCUGCUUUAUUGACUAUGCCAAAGCCUUUGACUAUGUGGAUCACAACGAAGUGUGGAAAAUUCUUCAACAGAUGGGAAUACCAGACCACCUGACCUGCCUCUUGAGAAACCUAUAAGCAGGUCAGGAAGCAACAGUUAGAACUGGACAUGGAACAACAGACUGGUUCCAAAUAGGAAAAGAAGUACAGCAAGGCUGUAUAUUGUCACCCUGCUUAUUUAACUUCUAUGCAGAGUACAUCAUGAGAGACGCUGGGCUGGAAGAAGCACAAGCUGGAAUC
This is a long non-coding RNA of Bos taurus (domestic cattle), 607 nucleotides long. NCBI's taxonomy places the organism in Eukaryota, Metazoa, Chordata, Mammalia, Artiodactyla, Bovidae. The record is from Ensembl.